RNAcentral lists this long non-coding RNA (11812 nucleotides) under Brassica napus (rape). RNAcentral describes it as "long non-coding RNA (BNAP_LNC013566)". The record is from RNAcentral. Lineage: Eukaryota; Viridiplantae; Streptophyta; Magnoliopsida; Brassicales; Brassicaceae.
CCAAGUUACAUUAGACCCCAAAAUAUUUCGAGUUAAUAUAUAUACACAUAGACCCCUAAAUUGUUAAUUUUUUUUUAUUAAAUUGAUUUAAGUCCUCUAAAAUGUCAGGGUCAGCCCAAUAUAACCAGAUAACAUUCGAAGUUGACGUCUUUUACCUGCAUGCAGUUGCCAAUGUUAAUGAUGAAAGCAUCAGGGUUGGGUUUCACAGAGAACCAUUGUCCAUCUGAUCUACGGCUCACUUGUAACCCACCCACACUAUCUUGUGCCAAGACGGUUAUAACUCCUGCGUCUGCGUGGCGUCCAACGCCUAAUGCUAGCUCCGGGUUCGGGCAAGGAGGGUAAUGGUUAAACCGCAAAAAGCUUGUUUGGUCCUUGAAGUAACCUGUUAACCGAUCACCGGGUAGACCCAAGCUAAUGGAGAUAAGUUCCAAAAGCUUGAAAGCUAACUUCUCAACUUCUCUUGCAUAUUCUUGGCACACCUCUCUACCAAACAUGAUUAGUAUUAAUUAAACUUCAUAAUAAAUGGAUCCUAAUUAGGCCCAAUGGGCCUUAAUUAAAGCCUUGUUUUAAAGCGUGUUUUUAGAGAAUCACCUGAAGUCGGAAGGGUUUUGAGGCCACGGGUUAGUCAGCUUCCUGAGCUCGGUAUCUUCCGGCUCUGUAGUCGCCGGAACCGUCGUCGAGUCCUGCAGAAAGAAAUCGAAAAUCUCUUUCCAGUCUCUAACGUUUUUGGUAUGUUCUCCGUCGUGAUAACCCAUAGGGUUCACUUCAUCUCUUUUCACUCUUCUCUUCUCCUCCAACGUUAGACUGAAAAACUCGGCCACCGUCUUCUCCACCCUACGCAUUAAGUCCAACGACAAACCAUGGUUGAUCACCUGGAAAAAGCCCCAUCUCAUGCAUGCUUCUGCAAUCUCUGCCGCUAGCGCUGUCUUGUCGCAGUGUGGGUCUUGGAGAGAGGAGAGAUCGAUGGUCGGGAUCUCGUUGGAGAGAAUGUAGUCACCGGAGUUUGUGAGAUGAGUUUUGGGUCUGUGUUCUGGAGCUUGGAUAAAAGCUUCGUCGAGUACUCCCAUGGUGUUUUUUUGUCGGUGAUUCUUAUGUUUAUCUUUUAAGGCUUUGGAAGAUAUCUGAUGAUUCUUGUGGUGCAUGCGGUUGGGUUUGUUUUAUAGGAAGAUGUCACGUGUAACAAAACGCUUUUAUUGGUAUGAUGAAUGUAGACACGUUUCUGUGAACAAUUAACUUUUUUCACAUUUGGUUAAUUAGGAAUUACAGUCAUGCCAGUUGUUGAAAGAGGACCAAAAUAAGCCAAAGAUGUAUGUAGACGGAGGAUAUUCAUAAAGUUCAUGAGCGUUUAAUAUAGACUAUAGAUGCCCCUUCUUGAAAAAAAAAAUUAACCAUUUUUUAUUUUUGCAAACAACCAUUACAAAAUGAGAGGAGGAUUAGUUCACAAGAAAAUAGUUCUGAAUCUAGACGGAAUCUUGGAAGGGUGGAGGAUGUGAUAGUGCCGGUCCGGACUCUUUCGACGCCUAAAGCGGAAAAAAUGUAUGCCCUUUAACUAUAAUUAAAAAAUUACGAUAUUUAAACAUGUAAUCAAAAUGGUACCAUAUAUUACUAAAAUUUAAAGUUGUUUAAAAUAAUAAAAACAUAAUCGGUAUGUCAUCUUAUAUAUUAUUUAUUUACAGUUUCAAUUGAGUAAUUUUCAAUUCUAUUUUUCUGAUAGUAUUUCCUAUAAAUAAAAAAUGAAAUAUAUAAAAUCAAGAAUAACUUAUGAUAAAAUUCACUUUAACUUCAACUUCACUUUGUAGAAUUUUAUUGGGUUUGGUAGUCUCAUAGAAUCUUAGAACCCUAUAAUAAUUUAUUUGUUUGCUUGGAUUUUAAACGUUACUACAAAAAUUAAUUACAAAAACCUACAAAAAAAGAAGUAAGAAGCAAUAAUAAAAAUUUAAUACGAGAUGCAGCUAUACUACUAAAAUCAAUCGCAAUGAAACGUGGAAAUAUAUGCACAAUUUAUAGUUCAAGUUAUUUGUUAUAACAUUUUUUGUUAACAGAACAAAACUGGAAAGAAGAUGUCUUUUAAUAAAAAAGGAAAAGACUACUAAGGUGGACGCAUACUUCCGAACCUGUCAGCUGUAGGACGAUAGAAUAAGUUGAGAGGACACUAGACCAAAGUGAAUUUCUUCCAAAUUGGCGCCCCUAAUGUCAAAUAUUCUUGGCGCCUGAAGCCAAUGCCUUAUGGGCUUUAGCCCAGGGCCAGCUCUGGAUGUGAUAUACGCAAGUCAAAUCUUAUUGGAUACUUGGAUCUCGAUCCGAAGUCUUAGAGUAGCAUUAUCCCUGAAACUCACUUAAGGGUGAUUAAAAAAAAAAAAAAUUAAAAAGUGCACCAAUCGCGGACCGUCACCGACCGCCACAUGUCGGUGGGAUCCGCGAACAGUACAAGAAACCCACCACAAUCGGUCCUUAUUUCAUGACUUUAGAGAUUGGUUUUUAUGGUUUAGUGGGGCCCACACAUUGCUUUUUUGAAAGAAACCCCUUUUAGAAACUCCAAUAAUGCUGCUUUUACAGCAUGAUUAACCCAGGUUCUUAAGAUGAGGUUCUUAGCUUCAGAUAACAACCGUUUCUUACCUUUUCUUAGUUUUUAACUAAGAAAAACUAAGAACCGUCUCUUAAAUAAGAGAUAUAGGAGCCGGUUCUUAGCCAAAAAAUGUAAAAAAAAUAAAACUUUGUGUCAAAUCAUGAGUUAAGAACCCCAAAUUAAGAACCCGGGUUAAUUAUGCUCUUAUAUAUUUGUCAAAAAAAAAAAAUUAUGACAUGAUUUUAAAGAACAUAUCAUAUAUUGUUUCCGACAUAAACUCAGUCUCUCACAUAUUAUUACAUUAAGGGCUUGCAUCAUAGCUUUGGUAAUAAAAAGUAGACACAUAGUACAUACUCUUAAUUAAGGAUCUGACUGGUUUAUCCGUUACCAUCUGCAAACGCAGCUUUUGCGGUCGAUAGCGGUUGACAACGUUUUGAAACAAUCAUAUAAACCGUUACAAAUCGCUUCAAACCGCUUUGAACCUCUUAAAAUCAAAAGAUGGUUCCAGCUAGCGUUUGCGGUUGCGAGCGGUUGCGGAUGGAUAAAUAAAUAUAAAUUGUUUUUCAAAAAUAUUUAAAAAUUUAAAAUUAAAAUUUUGAAAUGAAAGUAUUAUAAAUAAAAAUAUAUACAUGUUUUAUAUAUUAAUUUAAAUUCACAAACAGUAUAAUAAUUUGUUUUAUAAAAACUUUAAACUAACUAACUAUUCAUUAGAAUUUUUAAAAAUUAAUAUACAUACAUAUUCUUUUAAAGUUUGAUAUAAAUCUUCAAAAAAAUUAUAACUUUCAACUAAUUUAAAAAAUUAAAUAAAAAAAUAUAGUAAUAUUAUUAAUCAUAUUAUAUUGAUAAUUAUUAUAUUUUAUUACAAUAGUAUGUUUUUAUAUUUUUAUAAUGUUAUCCUUUAUAUAUUAAAAGAUAAGCAUUGUAAUGAAUGCAUUCACACUAUAGUAGACAUGUGGCAGCCUCUCAAUGAUUUGAUAAUAAGUAUGUUAAUGCGUUCACACUAUAUUCAUAAAUGUGUUCACACUAUGUACUUUGCAUUUUUUUAAUAUAAAAUUCACAUACAUGGUUCCAAUAAAACUCUGGAUUUUUCGGUUCGAAUAAAAAUAGAUAACGAAUCAAAAGCCAAACUAUAUAUAUAUUAUUUUUUAUUGUUUAUGGAUAAAGUUGAGAAAAAUAUUCUUAAAUUUUGAUUCUAUUCGUUAUCCGUUUUGAUUUGAACCAAAAAAUCUGGAUAUCCGUAACUGUACGAAACAAAUCAAAUACAAAAAUAAAAUAUCCCAAAAAGAAGCAAAUCACAAAUACCAAUAUUUUUAGGAACAUAUAUCUAAUUUGAUAUGUUAUAUGCAUAUAUAUACAUAUAUGUAAAGAAUUAUAUAUAUAUAUAUACGUUAUAUAUUAUACUUUAUAUCAGUUUUACAAUAUUUUUAUGAAUUAAAUUUAUUAUAUUAGGUACUUAAAUUUAAAAUUUUAAAUAAUGUUUUAUUUUUGUAAUAAAAUGUUAUUAUUUAAAUUUUCAAUUAUUUUUAAAAUUUUAUUUUAUUUACGGAUCAAAUCGGAUAUUCUUUAAAAUUCUAAAAUAUUUCAUAUAUCUGAGUCACCGAAUAUCUUGGUUGCUAAAGAUCGAAUUGACACGAAUGCUUCCAAAUACCCAGAUAUUCGAUUUGUGUCCACUCCUAUUUACGGAUACUGUUUUAUUUUCUUUAUAUGAAAAAAUGACUAAUGUCAAGGCCUUUUUAUUUUAAAUUAAUUUUAAUUUUAUCUUUCAUGUAUUAUUUUGACAAAAAUAUCAUUUAAUAUUAAUUAACAAUAUCUUUAUAUAUUUGUCAACUAUUUUUAUAUACUUUUUACAUACACAUACAUGUGCACUUUGAUGUGAGCACCUUGUAACUAAGUAUUCACCACAACUGAAGUAUCUAAUUUUUUUGAAAGUUAAAAUAUUUUUCUUAAUGCUUCUUUCACUACCGAGCAAAUUGUAGUGAAAUGAUUUGUCUUAAAAAAUUUCUUUUUCUUAAACUAUUAUCGGUUUAGAAACUCUAAUAUGAAAUUGGUUCGAUACGACAACUAUCUAAAAUUCAUAACAUGAAAAUAAACAAAUAAUAUUAAUUUUUGGUUUUUACCGGAAAAAACCAAAAAAUCAAACAUUUUAGCCGAAUAAACUAAAAUGAAUAUUAAUUUAAAAUAAUAGUAAUAUUUUAGAAGAUUAAAAGCCAAAAAAAAAACUUAAAACCGAACCAAUAUCCAGAUUAAACAGAUUUAAUGUCUUUAUAUAAAAAAUAACGAAACUAAUAAUCACAUCCCGCGCAAAGCGCAUGUUAUUACCUAGUAAUAUAUUAAUAUUGGUAAUUUAUUAUUAAACCGGUGCAAUAUCUUAUAAUCAACCAGUCACAAAUAUACCGCAAACACAACAAUUUUCAAACGUUGUACCAGUCAUACAAAACGCUUAAUAACACUUGAAAAUGCAACCACCCGCAUCCGCAAUCGCAACCGCUGCAUUUGAACCAAUCAGAGCCUAAGUUAUAAGGUUUCAGGACUCACUCUUCUAAUGGCUUCACUUCCACAUCAUGUGAAGGCAUCAAGAAGAAUGCUAUUUUUUUUCUCUUGGUGUACCAAUAAUCCCCACCACUCUAGGUUCUACAUUCCAAUACUUAUCAUUCAUGAUUCAUCCAUACCUAGUAGAAUUGAUAUCAAUACUAUUAAAACAGAAGGCCCUUUUUUUAGGUGCCCUUCUGUUUCAACAAUACUUACAGAUACAAGCCACUGAAGUAUUUAAAACCUAUGGUUUUUAUUUAAUUCUGUAUUUUCCAAUUUUACUUUUAAUUAACCAUAUUCGUUUUUGGUUUAGAUCUUCAUGGGUUGGGUGCGAUUCUGAUGGUAUGGAAAAAAGGGCUUCACUUUUUGUGGUUUUCGAAUGGUUGUGACUCGAGAUUUCGAGCUCCAGUAUAUAGAAACAAAGGAGGUUCGGAAGAUCUGUGAGAUCAGGGGCGGAUCUACUUAAGGUAAGUAUGGGGCAGUUGUCCCCCAUGAAAUUUAAAACUUUCCUUUAAAUGAUGAGUAUAUAUUUUAGUUGCCCCCAUUGAAAAAAUAAUUUCUGCCCCCGUAACAAAAUCUGUUUUCAAUGCUCAGUUCAAAAUCUCCAUUAUUUCCAUCUUUUACGAGGCCAUUUAUGAUAUUUCUAUUAGAAUUAUUAUGUUUCCAUAUUUGAUUUACGAACAUUAAACCAUUGUUUCCGUUUUAUAUAAUAAAUAAAAUCAAUUUGUGUUUGUUUUUUUUUUUUGUUUUUUGAACUUAAGAAAAUCAACUUGUUGCUUAAAAAUAAGUAGUUUUAUAACAUCAAAUAAAUAUCUAUUUAUUUAAUAAGUUAUAAUAAUCAGUUUUCUUUACUUUAUCAUAAUAUAUGCAAUGACAAUAAAAAUAUUAUUUUCAUUUUAGUUUUUCAUAUAUAAUUAUUAGUCCAUGAUUGAGAAAGAAAACACUAUUUAGGAAAAAAAUUAUAUGAUCUGAAUAUAUAUACUUGUAUUUUUCAUAUCAUGAAAAACGUGACUUUUUAUAUUUAUAAUUUCUGAUAUUUUUUAUUUUGUAAUUCAAUUAUAUAAGAACAGUUUUAGUUUUCCAUACAAUGGAUCUUGUAUAAUACACUUAUAAGUUGAUAGAAAAUAUAUUUAUAAAAUAUUUAAUACAAAUUUUGUUAAUGAUUAUUAACUGUUUGUCCCCGGUAAACUUUUCGGCUAGAUCCGCCACCGCGUGGGAUUGAUAUGGAUUGUGGUAUCACUACUGAAGGUUUUGUCAAGAUUCAUGGAAUCUCCGAUGUUAUUCGAUUCGAUUGAUCUUUUCAAAUUGCUCUAGUUAUUCACUCUCAUGAUUGAAGUGGGGAAAGAAUCUCUAAAGAGGGAAGAAAAUCUAUUAGAAGUAAUGGCUUCCGGGAUCACAUCAAAACAAAGGUUUCUCUAAUCUGUUUCUUUCUGAUGCAGAACAAGAGAAACAAAAUCAAAGGUAUAGUAGGCUCGACCUAGGCUACACAGUGUAUGGUUUUUUGGAAUGUACAGGUCAUCUCUUUAUUGUUGCAGUGCAGAAGGGUAAUGGCAUAUGUUGGGUCUGUUAAUGUAUUGUGGUUGUCUUUUGGUUUUUGCACGUUAUGUUCUUUGGGACUGUCAUGGAUCUGAACAUACAGAGAUAUAGAGUUUAUGUCUCUGGUUUACGUGGGCUAAGGUGGGGAGAAAGAAUAAAGAAAUCCUCACUGGAGUUUGGUUUCCUGAGACAAUAACUAUUCAUGUUUGGAUUUUAUAUGCAUGAGUUUUAUGCCAACUGACACAAUUUGGUCAAUCGAAGUGGCUGGUGAUUUGGAGAAGAGUGAUGGAGGGGCUAAGAUUCAGUCCCAUGAAGGAUGGUUUAUGAUAUUGGUUGAAUUUGUGGUACAUCAUUGGUGUUUUCUAGGUGCAGAUUAUUUUGGAAAGAGUCAAAAAGACACUUUCGUUUCCAAAAUUAAACAUGUAUUGUCUAAUAAUUGUGUUAACUUUGUUGUGUAAGUCCAUAUAUCGUUUGGUAAAAAAACAAUAUCUGGGUAUUUGUUUCUUUUGUCAAAAAUAAGUAUUUAUUUAUUUUAUUUAGAAUGGUCACUGUAUUUAUAUAAUUUUUAAACUGCAUCAUUGAAAUAAUGUGUUUUAAAUUGUAUUAAUAUUGUUGUUUCCAACAUAUAAAUACAUGUAGCUAUAUAAUGGCUUCUUAUUUAGAUUAUUUAUUUUUUAACAAUUUUGUAUGUAAUUACAUUUUAAAUUGUACUGAUAUUGUUGUUAAAUUUAUUCUUUUUAAAUAAGAUAGAUUGAUAGAAGACCUGUGUAAGUGUGAUAAAAGAGAUGAUAAAUUACUAAGAAGUGAAAUUAUAUUUAUAUUUACGAUGAAACUAAUAUUUACAAUGAAAAUGUUUAAAUAAAUUGUUUCAUAAAUAUAGAACACAAUUCUCAUUCCAUAUAAAUAUAUAUAGUUGGAUUAACAUAGACGUAAAAGAUCAAACUAGGACUGGGUAAAAAAUCUGAAUUCAAGGAAUCGAACCGAAUCUAAUCCGAAAUAUAAUAUUGAAUCCAAACCAAAAUUGGUUAAAUAUUCAAAUGGGUUCAAAAUUUUAGUAUAUAGAGAACCAAAACCAAAUCCGACUCAAACCUAAGUAUUUUGGGUAUCCAAGUUUAUCCGAAAUAGAUUUAUAUACUUAAAUAUAUUAAUUAUUUUAUAUUUAAUAUAUUAAAUAUCUAAAAUAUAUAAGAUUUUUUUUUCUAACGGCUUAUAAGAUAUUUUGAAGUUAUCCGAAUAUUUGAAAAUAUUUAAAAUAGUUAAAAGUAAAUGUCUAAAAUAGCUAAACAAUUUUCAAAACGCUAAACAAUUUUCAAAACACUAAAAAUAUUUAAAAUAUUUAUUGAUUCUCUAUCCAAAUAUUCAAUACAAAUCAAUUUAUAUGUUAAAUUUAGGUAUUUUAGCAAAUAUUUUUCAAAUUUAAAUGUAAUAUAUUGUUUUUAUUUUUAAAUUUUGAGAAAUUUAAAGAUAUAUAAAUUUAAAUUUUAAAAAAUAAUUUAAACGGGUUAUCGGAACACGAACUGAACCUGCAGUAAAGAUCUGAAGCGAAUCUGAACCAAAAUUUAGAAAUAUCUGAAUCGAGCUAAAAUUUGUAAUUUCAAAAACCCAAAACCUAAGUAGACCUGAAACGAAUCCAAAUUGGUACACGAACGCUCACCGUAGAUCACACAUUGAAAUCUAAAUGUUUUGUCUCUCAUUAAAUCGAAGUAAAAUAUAAUUAAAUUAAUAAUUUAAUUGAAAUUAUAUCAUGCGCUUUCAAAGCGCGGAUCAAUAUCUAGUAGUCAUUAUAAUUAGAUACUGCAUGUGUAUAUCUUAGAAAAAUGAGAAGUAAUAUCUAGAAUUUCACCUCCAUUGUAAUCCUCCAACUUUGUCUUGAGCCAAUAGACCGUGGGCAUGGUGGAUAACGAUUUAUCCUUAAGAAAACUCAUUUGAUCUUUAAAGUAAUCAUGGAAUGAGUUCUAAAAGCCUGAAUGCUAGCUUUUCAGUGUGUCUUACGUACUCGUCACAUGCCUCCCUAAAACUAAAUAAGAAAAAAGAGAUUAACUUGCAUAGUUGAAAAUAAAUUCUUUUACCGAAUUGCUUGUAUGCUAUGUCCUACAUGUAAGUUGUAACUUGUAAUAUUAAUGCAGCCUUGGAAGAUAGCGUUCACGUGCAUCCAGUAGAGUUGUGUACUUGUGUAAAGUGAUAAGAUUCUGAUCAUAUUGGUUAACUUUAGUUUUUUUUUUUUUUGUAACAAACACUUAUAUUAAACACACUAACCAAAGUUAGGUGGAGUUAUAAUGGCAAGUUCAACAGCCAAGCAUUGUUUAGCUAGAUUAUCAGCAUACCUGUUACUCUCACGAGAAAUCCUGGACCAAGAAAAUCACUCAAACGAGGAAACAGCAGAGAUGAUAUCUGUAAUUACUCCAAACACUUCAGUAAAAGAAGAGCCCAAAUUGAUUGCUUUAACUAGUUGCGCCAAGUCAGAUUCGCAUCUGGUAUUGGGAGGCCAAGAUUCCUGCACUUAAAAAUUGCCUCACGAAGCGCCAAAGCUUCAGCCGCAAGAGGGGAUGUCACAUGUCGAUAAAGAGCAGAGAAAAAGGAUAUUCUGUUUUGGUUUUCAAUUGUCCAACCAAGCCCCACCAUAUGGUGAUUCUCAUUCCACAAAAUAUCGAUUUUAACAAGGACACGGUUAAAACCGAUAUGUUUGGAAUGAGAGUAAAUGGAGACUGAUGAUUGCAUACUAUGCUAUAGAUGCUUAUUCUAUUUAUAGUUUUCAUAGAAUAAGCAGAGAAAAAAAUUCAGGAAUAAUUAAGAAGAAAGAUAAAGUGAUUCGGCUAUAGAAAAUUGGUAAUGUAUAUAUAUUUUGUGAGACUGAUGAUUGCAUAUUAUGUUUUUUUUUGGACCACAGCUUCUUUUCAUUAACUUCAACUUGCUUGAUUACAAAUGCUAGAGGAAAUUAUCCAUCCUCUAUGAUUGAAAACAUAAACUACAACAACAUAAAAUAAAAAGGUUAGGCCUUCAAAAGAAGAUGACAGCGAAAUCAAGACGGUGUUUGAAUGAGUCGUAGCCUUUACGACAUGCUUGGACAGAAGAAAGAUAGUCACUUUGAAUUGUGACGUUGACGUUGAUUAAUAUAAAUUCAUUAAUCAAGAUAUUUAAAAUAUUUUUCAAAUAUUCACUCUGCAUCACUUUUAAGAGGUUGGAGAAGUAAAACAUGAGUCAUGUUCAUUGACAUUAUUAGGAAAAGCAGCAACCAUGGUGGUCUCGGGUUUUUAGUUUGGCAAUUCCUUCCUGCGUCCGAUGUUGUUCAAUUGGUUCUUGAAGACAUCCCAAGCAACGACAUCAACUGCUUCAAGGCGAAGCCUCUUCUACCCUAAGCCCCUGCUUUCAAGGAGUAUUCACUUCUUCCGUUCUUCAAUUCCUUCCUCCUAAGCUCCGGUCCUUGUUUUUGUGUUUCCUGAGGCCAACGCUGUUCCCAUUGUGUCGCGUAGCCGGAUAGGGGGCCAUUUCGACCGUCUGCGCUUGACCGAAACCAAUGCUUCAUCUUCAUAUGGCGUUGAAAUCGGGUCUACAUGAUAGCAAAUGGGAGCCAACCGUCAUGCCUGCUUGGAGCCACUUCGGUGAGACCUGACUCUACUUCUCUUAUGGCUUUAUUCUUGUUGUCUCUGGUUGCUCCAGUCUUCGAGAAGUGCUUGGAGGGGGAGAUCAAUUGUUAGUCUUUUGUUCUAGUUUGGUAUUAUGUUCAAAGCCUCCAUUGUUUGGUUAAGAUUUGAUCAUAAUUUCUUUGUGGUUUAGCGGUUUUUUUUAAACUUUUUUGCACUUCUAAACUUUCAGAAUAGCUGAAAAGGAGAUUGUGGUUCCAUCAAAAUGUAACCAAACUUUCAUUCUUGCACUGAUAUUUACAAUCUUAGCAAAAAAAAGAAGGAAUAAUGGUUAUAAAAACAGAAAAAAUAAUAGUAGUGUGUUGACUCUAUCUUUGUUUUCUUGAUUUUUAAUGAUGGAUAUGACGAUGAAGGUUUUGAUUUUUGAUUAUAGUACUGUAAAAACAUUAUAAUGAUAAGCUAUAGAUUUUUAAAAGGUCUAAUUAAUGGCCUUUUUAUACAAAUGUAGUAGAAUAAAAGGCCAUAUUCUUCGAUAAUGCGUACUAACUACUAUUAUUUUUUCUGUUUAUACAUGGCAUCAAUUACAAUGUUCAUUAAGAAGUCCAAUUAUAAUACGUAUAAAUUUAGGUUUAUCAUGUAUAAAUCUAGUGAUGCCAUGUAUAAAUCCAGGCUGCAUUAUGUAUAGAUUCGGCUGGAGAUUCUUAAAUCAUUUUACGUUGUUUGACACAUAACUUCCGUCAUCCCUAAUUAGGUAGUCUUUCUAGCAAGGCGGGUCUUGUACGUAUCGAAUGGUUUAACCUUCCCUUCUUGUGAUGGGAGGAAGAACAAUGGUAUUAAGAAUGUAUCUUUGUGCUCUAUGUUCUGUAAAUUCCUGGGUAAUUAAGUGCUUCUUUAUUUAUUAUAUAUUUCAACUACAUAUUGAUAUAGAAGUAAACACAUGAGUCAUGUUCAUUGACAUUAUUAGGAAAUGUUGUGCUAAUAAACAUAGUAAGAUUACUUAAGCGGCCUUGAAGCGAUCAAUCUGGAUGCUCUCAGUUUGGAGCUUCUUGUAAUCACUUCUGUUUCUUGCAGCAAAGAACUUGCCCCAAUUGUACUUUUUGUAACAAGGCGGGUUGUCUUCGCUUAUAAGCUCCUUCAAUGGCUCAAUGUUGGUAUCGUGGGAUGGGAAAAGGAAGAAUGGCAUUGAGAAUCUCUCUUUGCUUGAAUUCACUACCACUCUAUGUUCUGCACUCCAAUACUUGUCAUUUGUCCAUACCUACUCCACACAACAAAUAUUAUAUGACCAAGUUACAUUAGACCCCAAAAUAUUUCGAGUUAAUAUAUAUACACAUAGACCCCUAAAUUGUUAAUUUUUUUUUAUUAAAUUGAUUUAAGUCCUCUAAAAUGUCAGGGUCAGCCCAAUAUAACCAGAUAACAUUCGAAGUUGACGUCUUUUACCUGCAUGCAGUUGCCAAUGUUAAUGAUGAAAGCAUCAGGGUUGGGUUUCACAGAGAACCAUUGUCCAUCUGAUCUACGGCUCACUUGUAACCCACCCACACUAUCUUGUGCCAAGACGGUUAUAACUCCUGCGUCUGCGUGGCGUCCAACGCCUAAUGCUAGC